GGAUCCAGACUUUGAUCAUGGCUCAGGAUGAACGCUAGCUACAGGCUUAACACAUGCAAGUCGAGGGGCAGCAUGGUCUUAGCUUGCUAAGGCCGAUGGCGACCGGCGCACGGGUGAGUAACACGUAUCCAACCUGCCGUCUACUCUUGGUCAGCCUUCUGAAAGGAAGAUUAAUACAAGAUGGCAUCAUGAGUCCGCAUGUUCACAUGAUUAAAGGUAUUCCGGUAGACGAUGGGGAUGCGUUCCAUUAGAUAGUAGGCGGGGUAACGGCCCACCUAGUCUUCGAUGGAUAGGGGUUCUGAGAGGAAGGUCCCCCACAUUGGAACUGAGACACGGUCCAAACUCCUACGGGAGGCAGCAGUGAGGAAUAUUGGUCAAUGGGCGAGAGCCUGAACCAGCCAAGUAGCGUGAAGGAUGACUGCCCUAUGGGUUGUAAACUUCUUUUAUAAAGGAAUAAAGUCGGGUAUGGAUACCCGUUUGCAUGUACUUUAUGAAUAAGGAUCGGCUAACUCCGUGCCAGCAGCCGCGGUAAUACGGAGGAUCCGAGCGUUAUCCGGAUUUAUUGGGUUUAAAGGGAGCGUAGAUGGAUGUUUAAGUCAGUUGUGAAAGUUUGCGGCUCAACCGUAAAAUUGCAGUUGAUACUGGAUAUCUUGAGUGCAGUUGAGGCAGGCGGAAUUCGUGGUGUAGCGGUGAAAUGCUUAGAUAUCACGAAGAACUCCGAUUGCGAAGGCAGCCUGCUAAGCUGCAACUGACAUUGAGGCUCGAAAGUGUGGGUAUCAAACAGGAUUAGAUACCCUGGUAGUCCACACGGUAAACGAUGAAUACUCGCUGUUUGCGAUAUACAGCAAGCGGCCAAGCGAAAGCGUUAAGUAUUCCACCUGGGGAGUACGCCGGCAACGGUGCAACUCAAAGGAAUUGACGG
Molecule: ribosomal RNA, 922 nt
Filed under: uncultured Bacteroidota bacterium
Lineage: Bacteria; Pseudomonadati; Bacteroidota
Description: bacterial SSU rRNA
Rfam family: Bacterial small subunit ribosomal RNA
Source: RNAcentral